This 767-nucleotide ribosomal RNA is filed under the name uncultured Bacilli bacterium. Its description in RNAcentral is "bacterial SSU rRNA". It matches the Rfam family "Bacterial small subunit ribosomal RNA", at positions 37 to 776 of the family's 1533-position model. Lineage: Bacteria; Bacillati; Bacillota; Bacilli. The record is from RNAcentral.
UGGCGGCGUGCCUAAUACAUGCAAGUCGAACGCUUUUUCUUUCACCGGAGCUUGCUCCACCGAAAGAAAAGGAGUGGCGAACGGGUGAGUAACACGUGGGUAACCUGCCCAUCAGAAGGGGAUAACACUUGGAAACAGGUGCUAAUACCGUAUAACAAUCGAAACCGCAUGGUUUCGGUUUGAAAGGCGCUUUUGCGUCACUGAUGGAUGGACCCGCGGUGCAUUAGCUAGUUGGUGAGGUAACGGCUCACCAAGGCAACGAUGCAUAGCCGACCUGAGAGGGUGAUCGGCCACAUUGGGACUGAGACACGGCCCAAACUCCUACGGGAGGCAGCAGUAGGGAAUCUUCGGCAAUGGACGGAAGUCUGACCGAGCAACGCCGCGUGAGUGAAGAAGGUUUUCGGAUCGUAAAACUCUGUUGUUAGAGAAGAACAAGGAUGAGAGUAGAAUGUUCAUCCCUUGACGGUAUCUAACCAGAAAGCCACGGCUAACUACGUGCCAGCAGCCGCGGUAAUACGUAGGUGGCAAGCGUUGUCCGGAUUUAUUGGGCGUAAAGCGAGCGCAGGCGGUUUCUUAAGUCUGAUGUGAAAGCCCCCGGCUCAACCGGGGAGGGUCAUUGGAAACUGGGAAACUUGAGUGCAGAAGAGGAGAGUGGAAUUCCAUGUGUAGCGGUGAAAUGCGUAGAUAUAUGGAGGAACACCAGUGGCGAAGGCGGCUCUCUGGUCUGUAACUGACGCUGAGGCUCCAAAGCGUGGGGAGCAAACAGG